GACGAACGCUGGCGGCGUGCUUAACACAUGCAAGUCGAACGGAAAGGCCCUGCUUUUGUGGGGUGCUCGAGUGGCGAACGGGUGAGUAACACGUGAGUAACCUGCCCUUGACUUUGGGAUAACUUCAGGAAACUGGGGCUAAUACCGGAUAGGAGCUCCUGCUGCAUGGUGGGGGUUGGAAAGUUUCGGCGGUUGGGGAUGGACUCGCGGCUUAUCAGCUUGUUGGUGGGGUAGUGGCUUACCAAGGCUUUGACGGGUAGCCGGCCUGAGAGGGUGACCGGCCACAUUGGGACUGAGGUACGGCCCAGACUCCUACAGGAGGCAGCAGUGGGGAGUAUUGCACAAUGGGCGGAAGCCUGAUGCAGCAACGCCGCGUGCGGGAUGACGGCCUUCGGGUUGUAAACCGCUUUCGCCUGUGACGAAGCGUGAGUGACGGUAAUGGGUAAAGAAGCACCGGCUAACUACGUG
RNAcentral lists this ribosomal RNA (468 nucleotides) under uncultured bacterium. Its description in RNAcentral is "partial 16S ribosomal RNA". It matches the Rfam family "Bacterial small subunit ribosomal RNA", at positions 28 to 507 of the family's 1533-position model. The record is from RNAcentral.